GAUGAACGCUGGCGGCGUGCCUAAUACAUGCAAGUCGAGCGAACGGACGAGAAGCUUGCUUCUCUGAUGUUAGCGGCGGACGGGUGAGUAACACGUGGAUAACCUACCUAUAAGACUGGGAUAACUUCGGGAAACCGGAGCUGAUACCGGAUGAUAUUUUGAACCGCAUGGUUCAAAAGUGAAAGACGGUCUUGCUGUCACUUAUAGAUGGAUCCGCGCUGCAUUAGCUAGUUGGUAAGGUAACGGCUUACCAAGGCAACGAUGCAUAGCCGACCUGAGAGGGUGAUCGGCCACACUGGAACUGAGACACGGUCCAGACUCCUACGGGAGGCAGCAGUAGGGAAUCUUCCGCAAUGGGCGAAAGCCUGACGGAGCAACGCCGCGUGAGUGAUGAAGGUCUUCGGAUCGUAAAACUCUGUUAUUAGGGAAGAACAUAUGUGUAAGUAACUGUGCACAUCUUGACGGUACCUAAUCAGAAAGCCACGGCUAACUACGUGCCAGCAGCCGCGGUAAUACGUAGGUGGCAAGCGUUAUCCGGAAUUAUUGGGCGUAAAGCGCGCGUAGGCGGUUUUUUAAGUCUGAUGCGAAAGCCCACGGCUCAACCGUGGAGGGUCAUUGGAAACUGGAAAACUUGAGUGCAGAAGAGGAAAGUGGAAUUCCAUGUGUAGCGGUGAAAUGCGCAGAGAUAUGGAGGAACACCAGUGGCGAAGGCGACUUUCUGGUCUGUAACUGACGCUGAUGUGCGAAAGCGUGGGGAUCAAACAGGAUUAGAUACCCUGGUAGUCCACGCCGUAAACGAUGAGUGCUAAGUGUUAGGGGGUUUCCGCCCCUUAGUGCUGCAGCUAACGCAUUAAGCACUCCGCCUGGGGAGUACGACCGCAAGGUUGAAACUCAAAGGAAUUGACGGGGACCCGCACAAGCGGUGGAGCAUGUGGUUUAAUUCGAAGCAACGCGAAGAACCUUACCAAAUCUUGACAUCCUUUGACAACUCUAGAGAUAGAGCCUUCCCCUUCGGGGGACAAAGUGACAGGUGGUGCAUGGUUGUCGUCAGCUCGUGUCGUGAGAUGUUGGGUUAAGUCCCGCAACGAGCGCAACCCUUAAGCUUAGUUGCCAUCAUUAAGUUGGGCACUCUAAGUUGACUGCCGGUGACAAACCGGAGGAAGGUGGGGAUGACGUCAAAUCAUCAUGCCCCUUAUGAUUUGGGCUACACACGUGCUACAAUGGACAAUACAAAGGGCAGCGAAACCGCGAGGUCAAGCAAAUCCCAUAAAGUUGUUCUCAGUUCGGAUUGUAGUCUGCAACUCGACUACAUGAAGCUGGAAUCGCUAGUAAUCGUAGAUCAGCAUGCUACGGUGAAUACGUUCCCGGGUCU
RNAcentral lists this ribosomal RNA (1372 nucleotides) under uncultured bacterium. RNAcentral describes it as "bacterial SSU rRNA". It matches the Rfam family "Bacterial small subunit ribosomal RNA", at positions 28 to 1381 of the family's 1533-position model. The record is from RNAcentral.